Long non-coding RNA from Morone saxatilis (striped sea-bass), 662 nucleotides. RefSeq lists it as uncharacterized. The transcript has 3 exons. The record is from RefSeq and is a predicted model, not a curated record. Lineage: Eukaryota; Metazoa; Chordata; Actinopteri; Moronidae.
CUAGUGCAGGCUUCUGCUUAGGCCUUUGACUAUAGUUUAAUAUAAACCACUGCUGCAUGAACACUUAAACAAUUUAAAUAAUUGCACAUAGACUUGCUAUAGGAGUGCGAGGUGCGUGGGUGACCUAAAUACGCAGAACUUGGAGGAACUGGUUGGCCCGGAGCCUGGAGCUCGUGCAGGGAGCCCCCGAGGGUGUGGGGUGGAUACUGUACACCCAUUUCUGCAAAGUUUCCACCCUUGUCUUUCCGCUGGUAACCCUGGCCGGCUGCCUCUUGUCUUCACAGUAGGUGAUGAGAGGGGGAGGACUGAGUGAGCGAGUGUUCGUCCGAACGACCAACAGACAGACAGACCAACAGACAGAUUGAAUGACGCCGCACCUGGUGCUUCUGAGGGCCUUUCCCAUGUUUUGAUUGGCUCCAUUUUUUACUUUCUAAACUUGGUUUCACCGAGCCGCUGCCUGCCAUGCCGUCCAACAGUCCUGCUGCCGCCGAACCGCCCCAGACACCAGAGAAUGACACAGCCAAUGACGUGUGUUCAUGUGACCCUGCCCCCACUGCAUACACACACACGAUUGACUGAAGCCAGAAGAUCUGUGAGCGCUCCUCCGACUGCUGCACAAGGGACUGUGCUAAUGUCCACCUGCGUUUGGUAAGUAAAUUAAG